AAAUGGAAAACGAAAGCCCACCGACUGCAUUCCAUAAAGCAGCCAAAUCUUCUGAUGAUUUCCCAAUAGGCACCACCAAUGGGCACCCGCCUGCCAUGCCCAUUAUCAUCUCCAUUCACGGACGAUUCUUUACAUGACUGGUGCCAAAGGAUAGAAAAUCCGAACAGUGUGUGAGAAACCAAAAGCAAGAAUCACAACUGAUAGGGAAGAAAGAUAAGAGGAGAAGCAGCAAGGUCAUAAAGGACAGAGGAUGAGAAUCUACUGACAAAGUGAGAACCUAUGAUGUCCGGGUGUCAGACUCUGCAGAGAAGAUGGAGCUGGAAGAUGUCCUGACGUCUGGACCAGAUGGAGAAGGAAAGAAAAGACAACAGAGAAGACGUCACUCAGCCUACGCUGCUGCUUUUGAAAGCCUCUCCUGAGGAAUCAAGAUUCAGCCAUGAGUAAUAAAAAGGAAGAAAAAAAAAAAGCUGCUACCAUCAUUGCAACAUGCUGCGUCUACAAAAAGAUCCGGAAGCUGGCCCUUUUUCUUCCAGUGGCUUGCUGUGCACCUCGGCCUCCGCCAUGUUGUGUUCGGUAAGUGGGAUGGUGGGGUGUGUGUUCUUGCUUCUGUCCUUCCUAUCUUCUGACGUCCAAGGCAAAUCUCUUCUUCCUGUUUCUUCCGUGGCUCAGCGAUGAAUCUGCGGCCUCUUCCGGCGCAUGCACAGGUAGGUUUUUUUUUGUUUGUUUUUUUACCAAUAACAUUUUUUUUGUUUAACUGACAAACUGUUGGAACUCGUUUAAAAAAAAAAAUUCUGUCUAGUCAUCCAGAAGGAGAUGUUCAUUCUGUUUCUUUUAAUUUAGCAUAUAUAGGGUUUUGCCACUCCUCCUUGCAUCUUACUUACAAUACUAUUAAGAUCUACUUAGGAGGUAUCCAACAUUUAACUAAACCCAACAGUCAUUCUUUGUUUUCUUCCCGAUUGAUUAAAGCUGCUUUGAAAGGUAUCCAGAAAGGUGAAGUUCCGCAAAAUCCUACUAGGCAACCUAUUUCCGGGGAACUAUUUAGGAAAUUGUCAGAUGUUUUAAUACAAAACAGGAAUGUGGGUGCACUACUGUGGUAUGCUGGGGAUCGCCCCUAGCAACGGAUUACAAGGGCAGGAUCUGCUCUUCCAGUAUAAAUGCACAACCGCAUUUGGGGUUGAACACCUCCAGCCAUUUGAGACCAAGUUUUUUGUUGUUUGUUUAAAUUUUAUACUUGGAGGUGUGUAAACUCCAAAAUGAAUGCGCCUUGAAUAUCUUCAAGGCAGCAUUAAGGUAGCACCUGUGAGGCUAUGCACCCACAUUAGCCAACUCACGUGGGGCUUGCAACUUGCCUCCCUCCUCACAUUGCAUGUGUGCCCAGUCACGCUGGAGGGUAUCUGGGAGGAAGUUAUGAGUCCUGCGCCAUUUUGAGAAACCUUGGCGUUGGUGUGCGGGCUCUGGUGUGUCCUUCAUAUAAAGAUACACUGGCGAAUGUCUCAAUUUUAACAUCAGUGUUGAGGGAUAGCCAAUGUCAUUGUAUACAUCUACCACAGUAGUGCACCCACAUUCCUGUUUUGUAUUAUUCUUAUUGUUACACAUCCACACCAUUUUUCUGGUGUAGGAUUCUAUUGUGGCACUUGUAGUCCGCUGCAGGCAUCCUCCAUUGUAUGCGUUUUUAUGCUGGGGAUGGCCCCUAGCAAUGGACUACAAGGGCAGGAUCUGCUCCCCGAGUAUAAAUGCACAACCGCAUUUGGGGUUGAGUACCUCCAGCCAUUUGAGACCACGUUUUUUGUGGUUUGUCAGAUGUUUUAGUCAGUUCUCCUUUUGGUUCACAUAAUAGUUUGUUGAUAAAAGCUGCAAUGUAUUUAGAAUAUUAUGGGUUUCUAUGACCAGGGGAAUUUACUUCCAGAAUGAUCAACGGACAACACCUUAAGGUAAACCAAUUGAAACAUGUUGCCGAGUAUUAUGAAUUGUCCUUAGUUAAUACUAAGACGACUUUGCCAGGGCAGGUUGAAAUGGUAUGUUACUUUGCCACAAUGCACAAAUGGUGCCCGGCAGGUUGAAUUGGUAUGUUACUUUGCCACAAUGCACAAAUGGUGCCCGGUUAAAGUACUCAAUGUUAUGUCGGAAAAGUGUUCUGGUUACAGUUCAGAAGCUCCUUUAUUAUUGUUCAAUGACAAUGAGUUAACUACGUCUCAAUGUAUUAAACAUCUACGCAUUUUAAUUAGACCUCUAGGUGGUGAUCCCUCAGCACUUUCAGGUCAUUCCUUCAGAAUCGUGCUGCUGCCGCAGCCACACAGAAUGGGGUCCCAGUGCACGUUAUCAAGAAAUUGGGGUGCACGAAGUCAGGCUGUUACUUGCGCUAUAUCCCAAAAGAGAUGGCUAACGCUUUCCAAUCAUUA
This is a long non-coding RNA of Hyla sarda, 2399 nucleotides long. RefSeq lists it as uncharacterized. The record is from RefSeq and is a predicted model, not a curated record. NCBI's taxonomy places the organism in Eukaryota, Metazoa, Chordata, Amphibia, Anura, Hylidae. The transcript has 4 exons.